GCGCACGCUGGCGGCAGGCUUAACACAUGCAAGUCGAGCGGGCACUUUCGGGUGUCAGCGGCGGACGGGUGAGUAACGCGUGGGAACGUGCCCUCUGGUUCGGAAUAACUCAGGGAAACUUGAGCUAAUACCGGAUACGCCCUUUUGGGGAAAGGCUUGCUGCCGGAGGAUCGGCCCGCGUCUGAUUAGCUAGUUGGUGAGGUAACGGCUCACCAAGGCGACGAUCAGUAGCUGGUCUGAGAGGAUGAUCAGCCACACUGGGACUGAGACACGGCCCAGACUCCUACGGGAGGCAGCAGUGGGGAAUAUUGGACAAUGGGCGCAAGCCUGAUCCAGCCAUGCCGCGUGAGUGAUGAAGGCCUUAGGGUUGUAAAGCUCUUUUAUCCGGGACGAUAAUGACGGUACCGGAGGAAUAAGCCCCGGCUAACUUCGUG
RNAcentral lists this ribosomal RNA (434 nucleotides) under uncultured bacterium. RNAcentral describes it as "partial 16S ribosomal RNA". It matches the Rfam family "Bacterial small subunit ribosomal RNA", at positions 29 to 507 of the family's 1533-position model. The record is from RNAcentral.